UACGGGGGGGGCAAGCGUUGUUCGGAAUUACUGGGCGUAAAGGGCUCGUAGGUGGCCAACUAAGUCAGACGUGAAAUCCCUCGGCUUAGCCGGGGAACUGCGUCUGAUACUGGAUGGCUUGAGUUUGGGAGAGGAAUGCGGAAUUCCAGGUGUAGCGGUGAAAUGCGUAGAUAUCUGGAGGAACACCAGCGGCGAAGGCGGCCUUCUGGACGGUGACUGACGCUGAGACGCGAAAGCGUGGGGAGCAAACAGG
This 253-nucleotide ribosomal RNA is filed under the name uncultured bacterium. Its description in RNAcentral is "partial 16S ribosomal RNA". It matches the Rfam family "Bacterial small subunit ribosomal RNA", at positions 524 to 776 of the family's 1533-position model. The record is from RNAcentral.